CCGUAGGUGAACCUGCGGAAGGAUCAUUAUCGAAUAAAACUUGAACAGGCUGUUGCUGGCUCCCUCGGAUGCAUGUGCACGCUUGUCAUUUUUAUCUCAUUUCUCCUCUGUGCACCAACUGUAGGCCUGGAGUUUGGWUUGAAAUCCUUUCAGGUCUAUGUUUUUACAAUCUCUCAAUGUGUUUGGAAUGUCGAGUUGCAUAAUAUAUACAUACAACUUUCAGCAACGGAUCUCUUGGCUCUCGCAUCGAUGAAGAACGCAGCGAAAUGCGAUAAGUAAUGUGAAUUGCAGAAUUCAGUGAAUCAUCGAAUCUUUGAACGCAUCUUGCGCUCCUUGGUAUUCUGAGGAGCAUGCCUGUUUGAGUGUCAUCAAGUCCUCAACCAUAUUGAUUUUGCUUCGAUGUGGAUUGGAUAUGGGAGCCCAUGCAGGCCUUUCAAUUGAGAGGUCUGCUCUCCUGAAAUGAAUUAGUGGUGUCUGAGCAGUGACUUUUACUAUAUGGGUGUGAUAAUCAUUUAUGCCUUUGUGAAAYGCUGCGCAAACUGCUUCUAACCUCGUCGUUGACCAAUUUGACCUCAAAUCAGGUAGGACUACCCGCUGAACUUAA
RNAcentral lists this ribosomal RNA (604 nucleotides) under uncultured Inocybe. RNAcentral describes it as "eukaryotic LSU rRNA". The stretch from base 215 to 368 matches the Rfam family "5.8S ribosomal RNA". Lineage: Eukaryota; Fungi; Basidiomycota; Agaricomycetes; Agaricales; Cortinariaceae. The record is from RNAcentral.